AAUUUUCAACCCAGGGCUGAGUUCACCCCCGGGGUUUAAAUUUCAACCCUGCUUGAGCUAGCAGGGUUGAAAUUUCAACCCCGGGGUUGAACUCAGCCCUGGGUUGAAAA
Molecule: non-coding RNA, 110 nt
Organism: Paramuricea clavata
Lineage: Eukaryota; Metazoa; Cnidaria; Anthozoa; Malacalcyonacea; Plexauridae
Source: the annotation of a GenBank genome assembly